Molecule: ribosomal RNA, 410 nt
Filed under: Rhizopycnis sp. HMUT130622
Lineage: Eukaryota; Fungi; Ascomycota; Dothideomycetes; Pleosporales; Morosphaeriaceae
Description: partial 18S ribosomal RNA
Rfam family: Group I catalytic intron (bases 31-354)
About the family: Group I catalytic introns are large self-splicing ribozymes.
Source: RNAcentral
AACACUUGCCGAAGCCUUAGCAGCCCGAAAGGGUGCAGUUCCGCGACUCAAAGAAAGGAGGACUGCUGAAAUGCUAGUCUGCAGAAGCAGGCAACACUAUCAAAUUGCGGGAACACCCUAAAGACCUCAACACCAAGCGUCAUGGGAAACCAUGGCGUGGCCGAGCUAAUAGCCCUGGGUAUGGUAACAGCUUGAGGUAUGAAGCCUUCGCAAGGAGGCUGAAAUGGGCAAUCCGCAGCCAAGUCCUAACGUGCUCGAAACCGAGCGCCAUGGAUGCUGUUCACAGGCCAAAUGGUAGUGGGUGACUCUUGCGAGUUGCUUAAGAUAUGGUCGGGCCCCUUCAGAAAUGUGGGGGAUAAGCUUACGCUUCUCUAAACCGUUCCGUAGGUGAACCUGCGGAAGGAUCAUUA